UUUGACUAGUUUUAUUAUUAACAAAUCAAAAAGAAAAAGCUAUCAUUUUUCUCUUCUCCUUCACCAAAAUAUGCAGCAAAGAAAGGGCUUUGAAGCUGGAAAAUUUCAGCAACAUAUUUCCCUUGCUUAGUUUCCAGGUUAGCUCGGGUUGGAGGUCAUCAGAGAUAUUAUCAUACUGUCAAGUUAACGCUAUCGGCGUAAGUAAACUCAAGUGAUUCUAGUCUAUGGCAUGUAUAGGGUUUUAAUGUGAGUAUGUAAUAUUAUGAUUUAGCCAAAGGCAUUGGCUUGUUAUUAAGGUAGUAUUAGUCAAUGUAAAUUGGCCUAUGUCGGCUAAUAUCGUUAUGGGCCCAUAUGAUUAUUCUUAUGCAUGUAUGUUAUUAUCUCUUGUGAUGUGACUUACAACAUGUAUGCCUAGAGAUUGAAUUGAGAUUCAUUGAUGAGCUAAUAACUAAUGCAGGAUUAAGUGAUUGGUAAAUAAAAAAAAAAAAAAGAAA
Gossypium arboreum is the source of this 494-nucleotide long non-coding RNA. RefSeq lists it as uncharacterized. The transcript is spliced from 3 exons. Lineage: Eukaryota; Viridiplantae; Streptophyta; Magnoliopsida; Malvales; Malvaceae. The record is from RefSeq and is a predicted model, not a curated record.